GAUGAACGCUGGCGGCGUGCCUAAUACAUGCAAGUCGAGCGAAUAGACGAGGAGCUUGCUCCUCUGACGUUAGCGGCGGACGGGUGAGUAACACGUGGAUAACCUACCUAUAAGACUGGGAUAACUUCGGGAAACCGGAGCUAAUACCGGAUAAUAUAUUGAACCGCAUGGUUCAAUAGUGAAAGACGGUUUUGCUGUCACUUAUAGAUGGAUCCGCGCCGCAUUAGCUAGUUGGUAAGGUAACGGCUUACCAAGGCAACGAUGCGUAGCCGACCUGAGAGGGUGAUCGGCCACACUGGAACUGAGACACGGUCCAGACUCCUACGGGAGGCAGCAGUAGGGAAUCUUCCGCAAUGGGCGAAAGCCUGACGGAGCAACGCCGCGUGAGUGAUGAAGGUCUUCGGAUCGUAAAACUCUGUUAUUAGGGAAGAACAAAUGUGUAAGUAACUAUGCGCGUCUUGACGGUACCUAAUCAGAAAGCCACGGCUAACUACGUG
This 497-nucleotide ribosomal RNA is filed under the name uncultured bacterium. Its description in RNAcentral is "partial 16S ribosomal RNA". It matches the Rfam family "Bacterial small subunit ribosomal RNA", at positions 28 to 507 of the family's 1533-position model. The record is from RNAcentral.